CCUACGGGUGGCAGCAGUGGGGAAUAUUGCACAAUGGGGGAAACCCUGAUGCAGCGACGCCGCGUGAGUGAAGAAGUAAUUCGUUACGUAAAGCUCUAUCAGCAGGGAAGAAACACUGACCUUAAGGUCAGCAGACGGUACCUGAGUAAGAAGCCCCAGCUAACUACGUGCCAGCAGCCGCGGUAAUACGUAGGGGGCAAGCGUUAACCGGAUUUACUGGGUGGAAAGGGAGCUUAGACGGUGCGCCAAGUCUGGAGUGAAAUGCCGCAGCUUAACUGCGGAACUGCUUUGGAAACUGGCGAACUAGAGUGCGGGAGGGGUAAGCGGAAUUCCUAGUGUAGCGGUGAAAUGCGUAGAUAUUAGGAGGAACACCGGUGGCGAAGGCGGCUUACUGGACCGUAACUGACGUUGAGGCUCGAAAGCGUGGGGAGCAAACAGGAUUAGAUACCCGAGUAGUC
This 458-nucleotide ribosomal RNA is filed under the name uncultured bacterium. Its description in RNAcentral is "partial 16S ribosomal RNA". It matches the Rfam family "Bacterial small subunit ribosomal RNA", at positions 338 to 795 of the family's 1533-position model. The record is from RNAcentral.